This 586-nucleotide ribosomal RNA is filed under the name Niabella sp. StRD447. Its description in RNAcentral is "bacterial SSU rRNA". It matches the Rfam family "Bacterial small subunit ribosomal RNA", at positions 102 to 684 of the family's 1533-position model. The record is from RNAcentral. Lineage: Bacteria; Pseudomonadati; Bacteroidota; Chitinophagia; Chitinophagales; Chitinophagaceae.
ACGGGUGCGGAACACGUACACAACCUUCCUUUUAGUGGGGGAUAGCCCAGAGAAAUUUGGAUUAAUACCCCGUAACAUGUUGGUGAGGCAUCUCACUGAUAUUAUAGUGGCAACACGCUAGAAGACGGGUGUGCGUAUGAUUAGGUAGUUGGCGGGGUAACGGCCCACCAAGCCUUCGAUCAUUAACUGGUGUGAGAGCACGACCAGUCACACGGGCACUGAGACACGGGCCCGACUCCUACGGGAGGCAGCAGUAAGGAAUAUUGGUCAAUGGAGGAAACUCUGAACCAGCCAUGCCGCGUGGAGGAUGAAGGUCCUCUGGAUUGUAAACUUCUUUUAUAUGGGACGAAAAAAGGGAAUUCUUUCUCGACUGACGGUACCAUAUGAAUAAGCACCGGCUAACUCCGUGCCAGCAGCCGCGGUAAUACGGAGGGUGCAAGCGUUAUCCGGAUUCACUGGGUUUAAAGGGAGCGUAGGUGGGUUAGUAAGUCCGUGGUGAAAUCUCUGAGCUUAACUCGGAAACUGCCAUGGAUACUAUUAGUCUUGAAUAUUGUGGAGGUUAGCGGAAUAUGUCAUGUAGCGGUGA